CCUACGGGUGGCAGCAGUGGGGAAUAUUGGACAAUGGGCGAAAGCCUGAUCCAGCCAUGCCCCGUGUGUGAAGAAGGCCUUCGGGUUGUAAAGCACUUUCAGUGGGGAAGAAAGCCUUGGGGCUAAUACCCUCGAGGAAGGACAUCACCCACAGAAGAAGCACCGGCUAACUCCGUGCCAGCAGCCGCGGUAAUACGGAGGGUGCGAGCGUUAAUCGGAAUUACUGGGCGUAAAGCGCGCGUAGGCGGUCUGAUAAGCCGGUUGUGAAAGCCCCGGGCUCAACCUGGGAACGGCAUCCGGAACUGUCAGGCUAGAGUGCAGGAGAGGAAGGUAGAAUUCCCGGUGUAGCGGUGAAAUGCGUAGAGAUCGGGAGGAAUACCAGUGGCGAAGGCGGCCUUCUGGACUGACACUGACGCUGAGGUGCGAAAGCGUGGGUAGCAAACAGGAUUAGAUACCCGGGUAGUC
This 465-nucleotide ribosomal RNA is filed under the name Vreelandella stevensii. Its description in RNAcentral is "partial 16S ribosomal RNA". It matches the Rfam family "Bacterial small subunit ribosomal RNA", at positions 338 to 795 of the family's 1533-position model. Lineage: Bacteria; Pseudomonadati; Pseudomonadota; Gammaproteobacteria; Oceanospirillales; Halomonadaceae. The record is from RNAcentral.